Molecule: ribosomal RNA, 446 nt
Filed under: uncultured bacterium
Lineage: Bacteria
Description: partial 16S ribosomal RNA
Rfam family: Bacterial small subunit ribosomal RNA
Source: RNAcentral
GUAAGGAAUAUUGGUCAAUGGGGGCAACCCUGAACCAGCCAUGCCGCGUGAAGGAUGAAGGCGUUAUGCGUUGUAAACUUCUUUUGUAUGGGAAGAAUGACAGGUAUUUAUCCUUGGAGAGACGGUACCAUACGAAUAAGCACCGGCUAACUCCGUGCCAGCAGCCGCGGUAAUACGGAGGGUGCAAGCGUUAUCCGGAAUCACUGGGUUUAAAGGGUACGUAGUCGGUUAAUGAAGUCAGUAGUGAAAGACUGUCGCUCAACGACGGAUGUGCUAUUAAUACUGGUUAACUUGAAUCAGGUUAGAGUUGGCGGAAUGGGUCAUGUAGCGGUGAAAUGCUUAGAUAUGACUUGGAACACCGAUAGCGAAGGCAGCUGACUGAGCCUUGAUUGACGCUGAGGUACGAAAGCAUGGGGAGCAAACAGGAUUAGAUACCCUUGUAGUCC